UAAUGCAUAUAGAAAGGAAAUGAAUAGCAGAAACAGCUACCACAAAUCUUGAAUGUCGUUACUAAGGCUAUGUAGAUUUAUACUAUUGUUGACAGAGAUGUGAUUGUUAAAAUUUACGAGAGAUGCUGUUCGGAUUUAUAUCACUUUGGAAAUAUUUUCUUAGUUCACUGCCAUCAAGAGAUGAUAUAUUUAAUUAUUUUCGAUUGAAGGCUGGAGUUUGUUCGCUAGAGUUUUACAAUUGGAAACCUCCAAAAUUCAAUGGCUCGAAACAAGUACGAGUUCUCCUUUUCCGAGAAUGUGACUGGAGAGGUAGAAAACUGUUGUUUGAUUCAAAAUCUGUGAAGAAACUUUCUCGCCAAGAUCUCAAUUCAUCUUGUGACUUGAAAAGGCUUAAAGUUAAUGGCCAUGUAACUGGAUCAAACACAAUACCUCGCAGAAAAAAUGACCAGCAUAGGGAAGUGGCCAGUGAUGGCACUGUUUAUCAGUACCUUAAGCCAUGUAGUGACGUUAAGAUGCUUGGAGAAAUGAUAUUUGGAUCUGUGACCAUGUCAUACAAAGGGGAUACUGUUAAAGUUCAUACAGUGAGGUCACCUCAAGAACUGAUGCUUAGUGUUGUUUUUCCUGCACCUCUUCCAAAUAAAAAAAUGGGUGAUAGGGAUCUUGAAGUUUCAUCUAGCCUGCACAAUUCUACUAGUGAAAUUCUAAUAUCAAAAUGUGGUGAAAAGAUGGAAUCAUUAUGUGUAGCUCACAGUGUUCCCGUGGAUGUGCCAGGUCACACUUCUGUUUUACAGCAAAGGAAUGACGGUGGUUGUUUGCCUUCUGGAAGUCACACUUUCCUGGCAGACUCUUUACAUUCCACAGCCAGUAGUAAUAGCCUACUUAGUUUUCCUGUUACUCCUGACACUGCCAGUUCUAGUCUAUCACAUUCUGGUAGUUUCAGUAGUCUUCAGCGAAGAUGGCUUCGAAAUCUAACCACUAGCAUGGAGGUUUGGCUACGACGUCGUUCAGAAGAUUCACCUCAAAGUGAGGAGCCUAAAAGAUCCUCUGGCCAUACAAGGACAAGAUUAGGAUUGAGUAUUAUCAUUUCUCUGGAAGAAGGAAACUUAGAAGAAGAAAGUAGGUUCCAUGAUUUUUUUUUCUCUCACAUUGCCCUAAUAGAAAGUCAUGUGACCCAAUUAAAGGACCUUGUCUUAGGGAGCUAUUUAAACCGCAAGAAUUUUGUAAAUGCAAUAUACAAGGGAGUAGAGCAGCUUCAAGCAUCUUUACAAGAUCUUGUCACGGGUCCUCGCCUCAUGUCUCCAGUAUGGUUAUCUAUGAUGUCUCCCUCGGUUAAUCAUCAUCUUCACUGCACGAGGUUCAUCAGUGAAUUCAUUGCACUCCUUGAAGAAUUUGAUACCAAGUAUACAAACUUCUUCGUCAGCACACUGUUGACAGCAGUCUUGACUCACCAUCUAGCAUGGGUUCCUACAGUUUCUCCACCAGGUGUCACAACCAACCACUUUGACCAUAGGAAGCACACAGCACAAUGGGUGGACAUGCUGGCCAAGUCUCAUCCAUAUAAUCCAUUAUGGAUGCAACUAGGGGAUCUAUAUGGAGCUCUUGGAACUCCAACCAAAUUAUCAAAAACUGUUAUCACAGGAAAAAAAGCUGAUGUCAUUUUGCGAUUUUUGUACAUUCUAAGCUACUUCAUUCGCUGUAGUGAUAUUUGUGAAUAUGAGCAGGAUUGGUCCAAAAGUGAUAAAGGAAAGUGGAUUCACCAAAACACAUCUUCAAGUGAAGCUACCCAUAAACUUGGUCAAAAAGCUGACUUUGACAUUAGUUGUAGUGAUGAUCAAUGUCCAUGUGAGAGAUUAGCUGAUGGAAGGGAUCAACUCUGGAUGUACAAGAAUAUUAAUUUCAAAACACCACAGAAAUUUGAAAUUGUAGAGAAGCAACAGGCUGUAACAGCUACAGCAGAGCAUAUGUGCAGAUAUGAGACAGCAGAAGAUAGAUUUCGCUUGCAUAAGCAACUUUACUGGAAAUCUUGCAGAAAUCAAAUUGAUCAAAUUUUAGAGGGAGAUCAACAACACAGGAAACCAAUACAUAAUGUAGAACUUUACCAGCGUAGUCACAAUGCUUUUACAGUAAUUCCUGAAGAAAGAGACAUGAACAGUGUUGUUUUUGUGCUUGGAGAAAGCCCACUGCAUUCCCAUUUUGAUUCAAAGAUUAAUGUUUGUAAGGAGUGUAAGGGAGUACAAGAACCACUAAACGAAGAAGGCUGUACACCUAAAGAAAUACCUACGUUAGACAGUUUGGGUUAUAAUAGCAUGGAGGAUAUACUAGAAUCCACAGCAGAGAACAGAAGAAUAGAAAAUGAAAUGGAAAAUACUAUGCAGGAAAAAGAAAUCUCAAGUAAAAAUUGUUUUGAACUAAACAAAUGCAACAAUUUGGUUACAGUAAAAGAAUUUGUCCCUCCUACAUUAAAAGUUGAACAUGUAAAAAAUGUAUAUACAAGUACACCAUUUAAAAAUAAUAAAAUCCUUUCGAAUCAUGAACAUAGUGAUACUUUACAUGACUCUUUGUUGUUAAGAUCCAGUGUUACUAGUGAAUGUUUUCUAGAUAGUGGAAAUUCUUCCAACUUGAAGAAAAUACCUGUUCACUCUGUAUCAUAUCCUGAUGAAUUGCAGAACAAGAGCAUUGAGUCAAAAAGCAUUGACCAAACUAGGCAGUAUUUUCAAGCAUACAACAGUUUAAGGUUUGCUCCUGAACCAAAACACACCUCUCAUCGUUUUAUUGGGAAUUAUGUGCAAGAAAAUUUGCCCCAGGUGAGUCACCAAGAACUUGGAGCUCAUAUGAUUGCUAAAGCCAAGGAAGAAUUCACUACUUCUUGCCAUUGUAAACCAAGCAAACCUUUAAAACAAUUGUCUGCAGUUACCACUAUUCCUGAGGAAGGCUACCAAAGCUUAGAAGAAGGAUGUCCCCAAGAGAGACAUACUUCACUUGGAGAUAUCUUGAGGUCACAAGAGGAACAUCCUUUAGAUGGAAUAAUGGAGUUAAAUUUACCACAGGGAUCAAAGGAUCUGUACGUGAUGUGGACAUUAGAAAUGACCUAGUCACUUCCACUCAGGCUCCUGUGCUUGGUGAUCCUGUAGCUGAGACAGUUUGUAUUUUAGCUGACACCGAUCAAUGGAGCGUCCAUUUAAUUUCAAGUAAUCGACAGGAUGGAGACAAAACAGGAUCUUGUAGUCUGAGGGU
RNAcentral lists this unclassified non-coding RNA (3234 nucleotides) under Limulus polyphemus (Atlantic horseshoe crab). RNAcentral's name for it is "folliculin-interacting protein 2-like, transcript variant X3". Lineage: Eukaryota; Metazoa; Arthropoda; Merostomata; Xiphosura; Limulidae. The record is from RNAcentral.